AAAUUCACGCAAGGGAGCUACACCAUAAUGUGGCUGAGAAGAACGGAUUAGGCCGUCAAACCUUUUAAACUUGAUCCAGGUAAUGCUGGCGUAAGGAGAAUCUGAUGAAAAUAC
RNAcentral lists this non-coding RNA (114 nucleotides) under Bacteriovorax sp. RNAcentral's name for it is "TPP sequence". It matches the Rfam family "TPP riboswitch aptamer (THI element)". From Rfam's summary of the family: Vitamin B(1) in its active form thiamin pyrophosphate (TPP) is an essential coenzyme that is synthesised by coupling of pyrimidine and thiazole moieties in bacteria. The previously detected thiamin-regulatory element, thi box was extended, resulting in a new, highly conserved RNA secondary structure, the THI element, which is widely distributed in eubacteria and also occurs in some archaea. Lineage: Bacteria; Pseudomonadati; Bdellovibrionota; Bacteriovoracia; Bacteriovoracales; Bacteriovoracaceae. The record is from RNAcentral.